UACGAAGGGGGCUAGCGUUGCUCGGAAUCACUGGGCGUAAAGGGUGCGUAGGCGGGUCUUUAAGUCAGGGGUGAAAUCCUGGAGCUCAACUCCAGAACUGCCUUUGAUACUGAGGAUCUUGAGUUCGGGAGAGGUGAGUGGAACUGCGAGUGUAGAGGUGAAAUUCGUAGAUAUUCGCAAGAACACCAAUGGCGAAGGCGGCUCACUGGCCCGAUACUGACGCUGAGGCACGAAAGCGUGGGGAGCAAACAGG
RNAcentral lists this ribosomal RNA (253 nucleotides) under uncultured bacterium. Its description in RNAcentral is "partial 16S ribosomal RNA". It matches the Rfam family "Bacterial small subunit ribosomal RNA", at positions 524 to 776 of the family's 1533-position model. The record is from RNAcentral.